GACGGGUGAGUAAUGCCUAGGAAAUUGCCCUGAUGUGGGGGAUAACCAUUGGAAACGAUGGCUAAUACCGCAUGAUGCCUACGGGCCAAAGAGGGGGACCUUCGGGCCUCUCGCGUCAGGAUAUGCCUAGGUGGGAUUAGCUAGUUGGUGAGGUAAGGGCUCACCAAGGCGACGAUCCCUAGCUGGUCUGAGAGGAUGAUCAGCCACACUGGAACUGAGACACGGUCCAGACUCCUACGGGAGGCAGCAGUGGGGAAUAUUGCACAAUGGGCGCAAGCCUGAUGCAGCCAUGCCGCGUGUAUGAAGAAGGCCUUCGGGUUGUAAAGUACUUUCAGUCGUGAGGAAGGCGGCGUCGUUAAUAGCGGCGUUGUUUGACGUUAGCGACAGAAGAAGCACCGGCUAACUCCGUGCCAGCAGCCGCGGUAAUACGGAGGGUGCGAGCGUUAAUCGGAAUUACUGGGCGUAAAGCGCAUGCAGGUGGUUUGUUAAGUCAGAUGUGAAAGCCCGGGGCUCAACCUCGGAAUAGCAUUUGAAACUGGCAGACUAGAGUACUGUAGAGGGGGGUAGAAUUUCAGGUGUAGCGGUGAAAUGCGUAGAGAUCUGAAGGAAUACCGGUGGCGAAGGCGGCCCCCUGGACAGAUACUGACACUCAGAUGCGAAAGCGUGGGGAGCAAACAGGAUUAGAUACCCUGGUAGUCCACGCCGUAAACGAUGUCUACUUGGAGGUUGUGGCCUUGAGCCGUGGCUUUCGGAGCUAACGCGUUAAGUAGACCGCCUGGGGAGUACGGUCGCAAGAUUAAAACUCAAAUGAAUUGACGGGGGCCCGCACAAGCGGUGGAGCAUGUGGUUUAAUUCGAUGCAACGCGAAGAACCUUACCUACUCUUGACAUCCAGAGAACUUUCCAGAGAUGGAUUGGUGCCUUCGGGAACUCUGAGACAGGUGCUGCAUGGCUGUCGUCAGCUCGUGUUGUGAAAUGUUGGGUUAAGUCCCGCAACGAGCGCAACCCUUAUCCUUGUUUGCCAGCGAGUAAUGUCGGGAACUCCAGGGAGACUGCCGGUGAUAAACCGGAGGAAGGUG
Molecule: ribosomal RNA, 1078 nt
Filed under: Vibrio alginolyticus
Lineage: Bacteria; Pseudomonadati; Pseudomonadota; Gammaproteobacteria; Vibrionales; Vibrionaceae
Description: bacterial SSU rRNA
Rfam family: Bacterial small subunit ribosomal RNA
Source: RNAcentral